This 253-nucleotide ribosomal RNA is filed under the name uncultured bacterium. RNAcentral describes it as "partial 16S ribosomal RNA". It matches the Rfam family "Bacterial small subunit ribosomal RNA", at positions 524 to 776 of the family's 1533-position model. The record is from RNAcentral.
UACGGAGGGUGCAAGCGUUAAUCGGAAUUACUGGGCGUAAAGCGUGCGCAGGCGGUUUGUUAAGUCCGCUGUGAAAUCCCCGAGCUCAACUUGGGAAUUGCAGUGGAUACUGGCAAGCUGGAGUAUGGUAGAGGAAGGUGGAAUUCCCGGUGUAGCAGUGAAAUGCGUAGAGAUCGGGAGGAACAUCCAUGGCGAAGGCAGCUACCUGGACCAACACUGACACUGAGGCACGAAAGCGUGGGGAGCAAACAGG